RNAcentral lists this non-coding RNA (73 nucleotides) under unclassified sequences. Its description in RNAcentral is "RAGATH-18 RNA". It matches the Rfam family "RAGATH-18 RNA". Rfam says of the family: Actinobacteria, Firmicutes, Fusobacteria, Thermotogae (1 example). The record is from Rfam by way of RNAcentral.
CCUUUGGAGUACUAAUAUAAACGAUAGUAGCUUGUCUUAUAAGACAGCGAGAGCGAGUACAAUGAAUAAGGAA